RNAcentral lists this ribosomal RNA (205 nucleotides) under uncultured bacterium. RNAcentral's name for it is "partial 16S ribosomal RNA". It matches the Rfam family "Bacterial small subunit ribosomal RNA", at positions 568 to 774 of the family's 1533-position model. The record is from RNAcentral.
CGUGUAGGCUGCUUGGAAAGUCGGAUGUGAAAGCCCUGGGCUCAACCUAGGAAGUGCAUUCGAAACUUCUGAGCUUGAGUAUCGGAGAGGAAGGCGGAAUUCUCGGUGUAGAGGUGAAAUUCGUAGAUAUCGAGAGGAACACCGGGCGAAGGCGGCCUUCUGGACGAUUACUGACGCUGAGACGCGAAAGCGUGGGGAGCAAACA